GGGGUUGUGGCUCAGCGGUAGAUCGCUCGCCUUGCCUCGCAUGUGUGAGACCCUGGGUUCAAUCCACAGCACCACA
This 76-nucleotide transfer RNA is filed under the name Marmota monax (woodchuck). RNAcentral describes it as "tRNA.Ala". Lineage: Eukaryota; Metazoa; Chordata; Mammalia; Rodentia; Sciuridae. The record is from RNAcentral.